Molecule: ribosomal RNA, 490 nt
Filed under: uncultured bacterium
Lineage: Bacteria
Description: partial 16S ribosomal RNA
Rfam family: Bacterial small subunit ribosomal RNA
Source: RNAcentral
AUUGAACGCUGGCGGCAGGCCUAACACAUGCAAGUCGAACGGUAACAGGAAGCAUCUUGCUGCUUUGCUGACGAGUGGCGGACGUGUGGGUAAGGUCUGGGAAACGGCGCGAGGGAUGGGGUUAACUACUGGAAACGGUAGCUGAUACCGCAUAACGUGGCAAGGCCAAGGAGGGUGAGCUUAGGGGCUCUUGGCAUCGGCUGGGCCCAGUUGGGUUUAGCUAGUAGGUGGGGUAACGGCUGACCUAGGCGACGAUCCGUAGCUGGUCUGAGAGGAUGACCAGCCACACUGGAACUGAGACACGGUCCAGACUCCUACGGGAGGCAGCAGUGGGGAAUAUUGCACAAUGGGCGAAAGCCUGAUGCAGCCAUGCCGCGUGUAUGAAGAAGGUCUUCGGGUUGUAAAGCACUUUAAGCUGGGAGGAAGGGAAUUAAGUUAAUACCUUUGCGUAUUGACGUUACCAGCAGAAGAAGCACCGGCUAACUCCGUG